CGCGGAGAGAAUUGGUAUUCAAUCCAGUCUCAUAAGCUGGACUCCAAGUGUUCGAUUCACUUCUCCGCAAC
This 71-nucleotide transfer RNA is filed under the name uncultured phage cr85_1. RNAcentral describes it as "crAssphage cr85_1 tRNA-Met". The record is from RNAcentral. Lineage: Duplodnaviria; Heunggongvirae; Uroviricota; Caudoviricetes; Crassvirales; Steigviridae.